RNAcentral lists this ribosomal RNA (354 nucleotides) under uncultured bacterium. RNAcentral describes it as "partial 16S ribosomal RNA". It matches the Rfam family "Bacterial small subunit ribosomal RNA", at positions 338 to 684 of the family's 1533-position model. The record is from RNAcentral.
CCUACGGGGAGCUGCAGUGGGGAAUAUUGCGCAAUGGGCGAAAGCCUGACGCAGCGACGCCGCGUGAGGGAUGAAGGUCUUCGGAUCGUAAACCUCUGUCAGCAGGGAAGCACGGUCACUGUGCUAAUCAGCAGUGAAUUGACGGUACCUGCAAAGGAAGCACCGGCUAACUCCGUGCCAGCAGCCGCGGUAAUACGGGGGGUGCGUGCGUUAACCGGAAUUACUGGGCGUAAAUCGCUCGUAGGCGGUUUUUCAAGUCAAGGGUGAAAUCCACUCUCUCAACGUGGGAACUGCCUUUGAAACUGGCAAACUGGAGUGUGUGAGAGGAUAGUGGAAUGCCAGGUGUAGGAGUGA